This 73-nucleotide transfer RNA is filed under the name Cytospora mali. RNAcentral's name for it is "tRNA-Gln (CTG) (tRNA-Gln-CTG-3-1, tRNA-Gln-CTG-3-2)". It matches the Rfam family "tRNA". Rfam says of the family: Transfer RNA (tRNA) molecules are approximately 80 nucleotides in length. Their secondary structure includes four short double-helical elements and three loops (D, anti-codon, and T loops). The record is from RNAcentral. Lineage: Eukaryota; Fungi; Ascomycota; Sordariomycetes; Diaporthales; Cytosporaceae.
GGUUCUAUAGUGUAGCUGGUUAUCACAUCGGAUUCUGAUUCCGGUAACUUGGGUUCGAAUCCCAAUAGGACCU